CCCUGGACAGGUCGCUAGUCCAUUGCAGGGCAUCAUAGACAUUACUACAAAGUAAUAUCUAUGGACUAAAUGGGAUCCCUGCCCAGAAGAAAUAUGGAGGAAGAAAGGAAAAUACACGGCCUUCUCCCCCCUCCCUGUCUGGAAGCUCCUGAACUCACAUGGUUGGAAUUGGUGAACACACAGAUGUCCUCAACACUGUUUUAUGACGCCUUCUUUCACCCAGCUUAGGGUGCGUGCGGCAGGAUGAGCUCCCAACUGAUUCACCUGAGAAAGAGAAGUGAGUCACUGAGUCCAGGUUGGAUUCCCACUGGAAUCCAAACGAUUCAACUACCUCUCUCGGACCUAUCACCGCAUGAGAAAACUAUAAGAGCCGAACAACCUUUCUUUACUCCAAUGAUUCUUCCUGAAGCCAAAUUACCCACUGAGUCUCUUUCCCUAGAACGAUCCAGUCAGAGCCUCACUGGUGCGCCCGUUUCUAGGAUUAUCAAACUCUGUGAUUCCUCUGAAAAUAAAACUCUGAAAAGACUUACCUUUGUUUGAUUGUGCCUGUUCUAGAGUCGAUCCCAGGAUCAUGUCAUACUUAUGUUUUUGUCACCCUUGUAUUGCGACUCAUCCAGGUUUUAGGUCCUUGAAACAUUUCCCAUUCCCAAACCUUGUAUUCUAUGGUUUUCAUGCUCAUUGUAAAGUACACAUGCUCUCACAGGGCCUUUACUGAUAAUUGAACUGGAUGUUUGUGAGACCUUUUUCAAAAUUAGAGAAACUUUGGUUGGUCUAUUUGGGUGUUAAAUUGUUGUGAUCACUGCUAUAGAAACAUAAUUUGAGUGUUUGGCUUUGCUGUUAGCUUACCUCCAACCUGCUGCUAAAUAGGUUGGUCAAUAAAAAUGUUGUCUAAUUCCUUGGUUCAAAA
This is a long non-coding RNA of Cyprinodon tularosa, 907 nucleotides long. RefSeq lists it as uncharacterized. Lineage: Eukaryota; Metazoa; Chordata; Actinopteri; Cyprinodontiformes; Cyprinodontidae. The transcript has 3 exons. The record is from RefSeq and is a predicted model, not a curated record.